RNAcentral lists this ribosomal RNA (456 nucleotides) under uncultured bacterium. Its description in RNAcentral is "partial 16S ribosomal RNA". It matches the Rfam family "Bacterial small subunit ribosomal RNA", at positions 338 to 795 of the family's 1533-position model. The record is from RNAcentral.
UCUAGGGAGGCAGCAGUGGGGAAUAUUGCACAAUGGGGGAAACCCUGAUGCAGCGACGCCGCGUGAGUGAAGAAGUAUUUCGGUAUGUAAAGCUCUAUCAGCAGGGAAGAACUAGCGACCUUUGGGUCGCCAGACGGUACCUGAUUAAGAAGCCCCGGCUAACUACGUGCCAGCAGCCGCGGUACUACGUAGGGGGAAAGCGUUAUCCGGAUUUAUUGGGUUUAAAGGGUGCGUAGGCGGAUUUUUAAGUCAGCGGUAAAAUGUCCGGGCUCAACCCGGGCCGGCCGAUGAAACUGGGGAUCUUGAGUGGGCGAGAAGUAUGCGGAAUGCGUGGUGUAGCGGUGAAAUGCAUAGAUAUCACGCAGAACUCCGAUUGCGAAGGCAGCAUACCGGCGCCCGACUGACGCUGAGGCACGAAAGCGUGGGGAUCGAACAGGAUUAGAUACCCGAGUAGUC